GAAACCUGCUCCAAGAAUGAAUAACUGCAAUUUAAUCUUCAUGAGUUGCACAAUUAGACAUCCGAGGAAGAAAUAGAGAAGAUCAAUUUCAAAUCCGCACUGAGUUUGCCAUUCAUCACUUUAUCGAAGAAAAAGGAAUAAACAGAGGUUAUUGUCAAUACCAAAAAUGCUGUAUGAGCUUUGAACCGGAGACUUCUCGAAUGUUGAAAUAAUCUUGCAAAUAAAAUCACCAAGCAUAUGAUGAAACUGAAAACACUAUAAAGAAAUAUUUUCAGCAAAUUCCAAUGUCCAAAGAGAUAGUUGAAGGAAGAGCUUAGAGCAUAACAGAGCAGUCCAACAACAGCCGAUGCGAAGCCUAUAAAUCUCCACACCUUUGGAUGCAUCAACCAUCUCCCAAUUUGAUUUAUGCAUUAUGUUGUCUACAGUGUAUGAUAAUUGGUUUCACAGACUGUGUGAGAGUGAGACUGAUCACCAACCAUUUUUGACUUCGGGUGUGAGAAGCAGAAGCUAUCUCUAAGUCAACUGAAAUUUCGAGGAAAUGGACCAAAGCU
RNAcentral lists this long non-coding RNA (551 nucleotides) under Trifolium pratense (red clover). Its description in RNAcentral is "long non-coding RNA (TPRA_LNC011319)". Lineage: Eukaryota; Viridiplantae; Streptophyta; Magnoliopsida; Fabales; Fabaceae. The record is from RNAcentral.